This 135-nucleotide small RNA is filed under the name Shewanella sp. P1-14-1. Lineage: Bacteria; Pseudomonadati; Pseudomonadota; Gammaproteobacteria; Alteromonadales; Shewanellaceae. The record is from RNAcentral.
AGACAAAAAAAGACCCAAAACUAUCCAAUUGUUCUGGGUCUAGGGGAAUGGCUCUUCAUAAAAGAGCCUUGCGCUACUGUUGAGAGGCUAUUCUCAGUAAAUCAGUUAAGUUGUAUUCAGUUAAGUUGCAUUCAG